ACGAACGCUGGCGGCAGGCCUAACACAUGCAAGUCGAGCGCGCCUUCGGGUGAGCGGCGGACGGGUUAGUAACGCGUGGGAACGUACCCUUCUCUACGGAAUAGCCUUUGGAAACGAAGAGUAAUACCGUAUACGCCCUUUGGGGGAAAGAUUUAUCGGAGAAGGAUCGGCCCGCGUUAGAUUAGAUAGUUGGUGGGGUAACGGCCUACCAAGUCUACGAUCUAUAGCUGGUUUUAGAGGAUGAUCAGCAACACUGGGACUGAGACACGGCCCAGACUCCUACGGGAGGCAGCAGUGGGGAAUCUUAGACAAUGGGCGCAAGCCUGAUCUAGCCAUGCCGCGUGAGUGAUGAAGGCCUUAGGGUCGUAAAGCUCUUUCGCCUGUGAUGAUAAUGACAGUAGCAGGUAAAGAAACCCCGGCUAACUCCGUGCCAGCAGCCGCGGUAAUACGGAGGGGGUUAGCGUUGUUCGGAAUUACUGGGCGUAAAGCGCACGUAGGCGGAUUGGAAAGUUGGGGGUGAAAUCCCGGGGCUCAACCCCGGAACUGCCUCCAAAACUAUCAGUCUAGAGUUCGAGAGAGGUGAGUGGAAUUCCAAGUGUAGAGGUGAAAUUCGUAGAUAUUUGGAGGAAUACCAGUGGCGAAGGCGGCUCACUGGCUCGAUCCUGA
RNAcentral lists this ribosomal RNA (666 nucleotides) under bacterium IMCC11251. RNAcentral describes it as "bacterial SSU rRNA". It matches the Rfam family "Bacterial small subunit ribosomal RNA", at positions 29 to 743 of the family's 1533-position model. The record is from RNAcentral.